GAUAUUAUAGAGAUUGUUUAUAUCUUCUUAUUGAUGUUAAAGAUAUUAAUAUUUUGGGAUAUAGUGAUGUUUACUGUAGAGUAUAUGUAUUUUAAACUUUUUUUUUACUCACACAAUGUUUAAAUUGCAGAUGGCAGUAUACAUAGCAUUUAAUACUACAUCUACCCCAGAAUCUAACAGUACUUUAUAGCUGUGAAAUUUGACAAACACCCUCGAAAAAAUUAUUAAUUAUAUAGCUGCAUAUUAUAACAUCGUAUUCAAUGAUGAGAGCUUUUAAGCCUGAAAAGUAUUAUUUUAUAAUUGCCUCAACUGAACAGAGUGGCAUUUUCUUCACAAAUUUGUUUAGGAAAAUUUAUCAUGUUUGAAUAAUGAAUUUAUAGUUCUCAUGCCUGUAUGGUAAUCUACUAGCACAUGGGAUAUCCCCAUGCAUACCUUGCAUACAAACAUCUACAAAUGAGAUGCCAAGUCUCACCUCUUCGUGGAGAAUCCUCGCUCCACAUUCCCUAAACUAGCAGAUUGUUAUACAGGCAGUUUCUCCCCC
RNAcentral lists this long non-coding RNA (541 nucleotides) under Mytilus galloprovincialis (Mediterranean mussel). The record is from RNAcentral. Lineage: Eukaryota; Metazoa; Mollusca; Bivalvia; Mytilida; Mytilidae.